This 406-nucleotide ribosomal RNA is filed under the name uncultured bacterium. RNAcentral's name for it is "partial 16S ribosomal RNA". It matches the Rfam family "Bacterial small subunit ribosomal RNA", at positions 30 to 526 of the family's 1533-position model. The record is from RNAcentral.
AUUGAACGCUGGCGGCAGGCUUAACACAUGCAAGUCGCGCGAGCGGCGGACGGGUGAGUAAUGUCUGGGAAACUGCCUGAUGGAGGGGGAUAACUACUGGAAACGGUAGCUAAUACCGCAUACCAUCAGAUGUGCCCAGAUGGGAUUAGCUAGUAGGUGGGGUAAUGGCUCACCUAGGCCACGAUCCCUAGCUGGUCUGAGAGGAUGACCAGCCACACGGGAACUGAGACACGGUCCAGAUUCCUACGAGAGGCAGUAGUGGCGAAUAUUGCACAAUGGGAGCAAGCCUGAGGCAGCCCUGCCGCGUGUUUGAAGAAGGCCUUCGGGUUGUAAAGCACGCUCAGCGAGGAGGCGUUACUAGCAGAAGAAGCACCGGCUAACUCCGUGCCAGCAGCAGCGGUAAUAC